GUUCCUCCGGGGCGCAGCAGUAGGGAAUCUUCCACAAUGGACGAAAGUCUGAUGGAGCAACGCCGCGUGAGUGAAGAAGGGUUUCGGCUCGUAAAGCUCUGUUGGUAGUGAAGAAAGAUAGAGGUAGUAACUGGCCUUUAUUUGACGGUAAUUACUUAGAAAAGCACGGCUAACUACGUGGCAGCCGCCGCGGUAAUACGUAGGUGGCAAGGGUUGUCCGGAUUUAUUGGGCGUAAA
RNAcentral lists this ribosomal RNA (237 nucleotides) under uncultured bacterium. Its description in RNAcentral is "partial 16S ribosomal RNA". It matches the Rfam family "Bacterial small subunit ribosomal RNA", at positions 335 to 564 of the family's 1533-position model. The record is from RNAcentral.